Molecule: ribosomal RNA, 253 nt
Filed under: uncultured bacterium
Lineage: Bacteria
Description: partial 16S ribosomal RNA
Rfam family: Bacterial small subunit ribosomal RNA
Source: RNAcentral
UACGUAGGGUGCAAGCGUUGUCCGGAAUCAUUGGGCGUAAAGAGCUCGUAGGCGGUUUGUCGCGUCGAAUGUGAAAACCCGGGGCUCAACCCCGGGCCUGCAUUCGAUACGGGCAGACUAGAGUUCGGUAGGGGAGUCUGGAAUUCCUGGUGUAGCGGUGAAAUGCGCAGAUAUCAGGAGGAACACCGGUGGCGAAGGCGGGACUCUGGGCCGAUACUGACGCUGAGGAGCGAAAGCGUGGGGAGCAAACAGG